This 518-nucleotide ribosomal RNA is filed under the name uncultured bacterium. RNAcentral describes it as "partial 16S ribosomal RNA". It matches the Rfam family "Bacterial small subunit ribosomal RNA", at positions 28 to 523 of the family's 1533-position model. The record is from RNAcentral.
GACGAACGCUGGCGGCGUGCUUAACACAUGCAAGUCGAACGGAGGAUUUAUUUCGGUAAAUCCUUAGUGGCGAACGGGUGAGUAACGCGUGGGCAAUCUGCCCUUCAGAUGGGGACAACAUCCCGAAAGGGGUGCUAAUACCGAAUACGAUCACGCCGCCGCAUGGCGGAGUGAUGAAAGAUGGCCUCUAUUUAUAAGCUAUCGCUGAAGGAUGAGCCUGCGUCUGAUUAGCUAGUUGGUGGGGUAACGGCCUACCAAGGCGAUGAUCAGUAGCCGGUCUGAGAGGAUGAACGGCCACAUUGGGACUGAGACACGGCCCAAACUCCUACGGGAGGCAGCAGUGGGGAAUAUCCCGCAAUGGACGAAAGUCUGACGGAGCAACGGCGCGUGAGUGAUGAAGGUUUUCGGACUGUAAAACUCUGUUGUUUAGGACGAAAGUGCCUGUUGCGAACAGUUGCAGGUAUUGACGGUACUGAACGAGGAAGCCACGGCUAACUACGUGCCAGCCGCCGCCGUAA